Non-coding RNA from Equus caballus (horse), 2295 nucleotides. Lineage: Eukaryota; Metazoa; Chordata; Mammalia; Perissodactyla; Equidae. The record is from RefSeq and is a predicted model, not a curated record.
GUUGGCCACCUCCUUCCAGAUGGCCCCUCCCUCCUGUCAGCGUCGUCCCCACCUCCUGGCGCAUGCUCUAUGUUCCGACAGCAAGCCUGGCCUCCGAUUCAGACGCAUGCGCACACCGGGGGGAACGAAAAACUUCUCGCGAGACCAUGAAAUCCAGGCGCUGGCGAGCGCUGGUUUCCUGAGCAAGGUGGGAAGUCUGUGCUCUUUCCCGUUUGCUCUUGUUCUAAGCUUCUAAAGUCACCGUUGUCUCCAGAGCGCCAGGUGGCUCAGUUCUCCGCUUCUUAAUCUUUCCGUGGGUUAAGUUUUACGGAACUGGCUGUUUUUUUUGGUCUGUGCUGAUACACGCUCCGCGUCUCCGUCCUCGCUGAAAUUGCUGCUCCUGAGCGCAGGAUCCAGGUGAAGCUUUUACCUUGUGGACCGUUGGGGGCGGUACGUUGCAGCAGUUGCUCAGGGAAGAUGGUGUCACAGGUCUGGUAACUAACGUGCCACAGCAGAGACCCACAGGAGCUUCAUGAAAUCACUGCGUACUUUUUUAGGGGGGAGAACGGAUAUAAUAAGAGCAAAAGUUGCUAUUAUGGUUAGUCUUGGAAUGGACAAGUUUAUAGGAAAUUUAACUUGAAAGAACCAGAGCUGUUUCCAAGGCUGCCCUUAUCGCACCCUCUUAUUUUCUCGCUGCAUCUCACUAACCAGCAGAACCAUUCAAUAGCAAGGCUUCAGUGCCGAAUCACGUGGGGACUUUUGCCAAAUUAGACCAUUUAGAAUCUCUCACUCUCCAUCCGUAUUACUUUGCUAGGGCUGUAAUAACAAUACCACAGACUGGGUGGCUUAAACAACAGGAAUUUAUUUUCUCACGAUUCUGGAGGCUGGAACUCUGAGAUGAGGUGUCCACAGCUUGGUUUCUCUUGAGUCCUACCCCCUUGGCCUGUAGGUGGCCUUCUCCGUGUGUCUUCACAUCCGCUUCCCUCUGUACCUGUCUGUAUCCUAACCUCUUACAAGGAGACCAGUCAUAUUGGAUUAGGGCCUGUCCUAAAGACCUCAUUUACCUUUAAUUACCUUUUUGAAGACACUCUCUCCAGAUAGAGUCAUAUUCUGAGAUACUGGGGAUUAGGACUUCGACGUGAAUUUGGGCACAAUCCAGCCCAUACACCAUCCACUUAUGCUAAGUUAUAAAGUUUUACUGAAGAUUUUUAAAUGAAUGCUUCCAUUAGGUUAAGGGGCUAAAACAUCAAUGAAUGAGAGAGUGUGUGUAUGUAUAUGCCUGCAUUUUUUGUAAUGCUCUCUUCUCCAUCUUGAAUUUUAAUAUCUUCCCAACUAUUUAUAUUUGUCAAAAUUGUACUCAGCUUUGAAUGCUUUACUUAAAUAUUACUUGUUCUAUGAAACUUUUUCGUUACUCCAGCUGAAUUUGAUUUUUCCCUUUUUGGUACGCUAUAGUACUUAACUUGCAUUUUUCUUGUGGAAUCUUUAUUAUCUUAUAAACUUGUAGUGAAGGAUUGUGUCUCUUAUUUGAGGUGCCUAGCAUAGUGACUUGCGUUAAAUGAGCACUCAAUUGCAUUAUUGGAUGCUUUGAGGUAUGCAAUAUAUAUUUCUGGAAUUGAGAAAGUUUUAUAUUUUAAAAAGCCAUUUCUCUCUAGGAGGUGGAGUUAAUCCCCCUUCCCUACCCCAGUACUAACUCGAGUGUGGGCUGUGCUUAGUGACUUGCUUUCAAAGGGUAGGAUAAGGCAAGAGGGGGAAAGCAUAAUAUAAUAGUGGAUCAAUCCAGCAAACGCUACCUAGGCCAGAUGAUCAAUGUUAACAUCAGUGAUAAAUCAUUUUGAUAGUGUUGUACCCUGAUAAGAUGUGAUGAGAAGAACGCUUCUCCUCCCUCUAUGUUAUUUUUCCCUAAAGCCCUAAGUCUAAACAUGAGAAGAAUAUCAGAGGAAAUCAAAUUGAUGGACAUCCUACACAUUUCUUAACUGGUACUCAAAACUGUCAUGGUCAUGAAAAGAAAAGUCUGUGAAAUUGUCACACCAGAAGAGACGAGACAUGAUGACUAAAUGUAAUGUGGCAUCCUGGCUGGGAUGCUUAAGCAGAAAAAGGAUAUUAAUGGAAAACUAGUGAAAUCUGAAUGAAGUGUGGAAUUUAGUUAAUAGUAAUGUGCCAAUGUUGGUUUCUUGGUUGUGACAGAUGUACAUGGUAUUGUAAGAUAUUAACAAGAGGGGAAAUUGGAUGAGGUGUGUGUGGGAACUCCCUAUACCAUAUUAACAACUUUUCUGUAAAUCAAACUAUUAAAAUAAAGCUUAAAAAAAGCAAUUAUAA